GCCACUGUAGUUCAGUGGUAGAAUUGCCCGUCCCGUUUGGACCUCAGGUUUGACGCCGGGAGACCGCAGGUUCGAUUCCUCGGAGUGGUG
Mycena vulgaris is the source of this 90-nucleotide non-coding RNA. NCBI's taxonomy places the organism in Eukaryota, Fungi, Basidiomycota, Agaricomycetes, Agaricales, Mycenaceae. The record is from the annotation of a GenBank genome assembly.